Molecule: ribosomal RNA, 433 nt
Filed under: uncultured bacterium
Lineage: Bacteria
Description: partial 16S ribosomal RNA
Rfam family: Bacterial small subunit ribosomal RNA
Source: RNAcentral
AGCGAACGCUGGCGGCAGGCCUAACACAUGCAAGUCGAACGAACUCUUCGGAGUUAGUGGCGGACGGGUGAGUAACACGUGGGAACGUGCCUUUAGGUUCGGAAUAACUCAGGGAAACUUGUGCUAAUACCGAAUGUGCCCUUCGGGGGAAAGAUUUAUCGCCUUUCGAGCGGCCCGCGUCUGAUUAGCUAGUUGGUGAGGUAAAGGCUCACCAAGGCGACGAUCAGUAGCUGGUCUGAGAGGAUGAUCAGCAACAUUGGGACUGAGACACGGCCCAAACUCCUACGGGAGGCAGCAGUGGGGAAUCUUGCGCAAUGGGCGAAAGCCUGACGCAGCCAUGCCGCGUGAAUGAUGAAGGUCUUAGGAUUGUAAAAUUCUUUCACCGGGGACGAUAAUGACGGUACCCGGAGAAGAAGCCCCGGCUAACUUCGUG